GAACUUAGCUUGCGUUGCCUAAGUCGCGCUUCGCCCUCGUGAUAUUGCUCCGCAAAGAUCAGCCCACUUGCAACCUCUCGCAGGUCCCGAAGGACCUUUAAAAAAGAAAGUUGAUUAGUUUGAAAGAACGAGCGAUGGACAAGUCCUGACGUCUCACGAAAAGAGGGGAAGCUUUACAAGAAAUUCAGCGAGCACCUUGCGUGCACAAGAGAAAAGAGGGAGAGGUGGAAAACAAGGACUUUAGAGGGUUGAACGAACAGCUGCAAGUCCACAAACAGCUGCUCACCGGGUGUCGGGCGUGACAACAAGUUCCCGUCAAGGUAACAUGCAAACUUGCGAAAGGUUGUUCAAUGCCCAACACUAUACCGAAGCCCCAUCCAGCCCGGUGCCACCUGAGGGGUUCCAAGGGGCUGAGAUGGCUGACGUUUUGGUGAGCGGAAGCGGACUGCAGAAAACAACCCGUGGCACACGAAAACGGAGCUGUUUUGGGGCUAUUUUGCUUGGUUCGGUGAGCGGUCGCUUUGUAGCGCUGCAACUUGUUCGAACUUACAUUUUUAUAAGCAAAAUGACUCAAAACCAAGACAAAACAUGCUGCCAAGCAACUGUACAUGUAGAUGCGAGCGACGAACGGUUCGUUGAACGGAGUUGUUGCGGGUGCGCGACGACCGUUCGUGACAUUCUUCUCCACUUAAACUGUCGACGCCCUCGUCGACGCUUGUUGGUAGUUGUUGAUGAUUGCUUCUUCAUGUCGUAGGGUGUCUUCAGGCUCCUAACUGGCUUCAGUUCGAGGAAGCUUUCGCCACUUCACCAAGUACUCUAUCUGCUCAGCUCCAUUGGGUAGCUUUAUCUUGCGGUCCGCCAGAAUGGUUUCAACUUGCUUCUCAUAGGAGGUUGUGAUGGGGGGUAGCCGAGUUGGAACACUUCGGGAAGCAUCUUGCGGAUUCGAGUGGUAGGCUUUUAGGUUGCUGGCAUGAAGAACGUUGUGAAUUUUGAACCACGUCAGCAGCUGUAACUUGUAGGAGACGUUGCCUACCCUACUGAUAAUUGGGAAGGGCCCUUCAUACUUGCGCACUAAUCCUUUGUGGACUUUGUUCCUAAAUAAUUGGAGUGAUGCUGAUUGGAGCUUUACCAACACCAAAUCACCAACCUUGAACUCCUGCGGUCGCCUUCCUAAGUCUGCCCACUUCUUCAUCCUUCUUGCCGCCUUCUCCAAGUAAGCCUUCAUAAUAUCUGUAUUUCGGUGCCACUCCUUUGCGAAGCGGUAGGCUGACGGACUACUUCCAGUAUACCCGAUUACCAUGGUGUGAGGAGUUGACGGUUGUUGUCUUGUAAUGAUCUCGAAGGGGCUUUUGUUGGAAGCAGAGCUCCGCUGCAAGUUGUAGGAGAAUUAGGCAAUGUCCAACAACUUCACCCAAUCUCGUUGGUUGGCACUCAUGUAGUGCCGAAGAUAUUGCUCCAAGAGCGAGUUUAUCCUUUUAGUAUGGCCAUCCGUCUGGGGGUGGAGGCUUGUGGAGAAGUAUAACUUUGACCCCAACAAUUUGAAUAGCUCGGUCCAGAAUCAUCCCAGGAACCAAGCGUCUCGAUCACUAAUGAUAUUGUGCGGGACUCCCCAAUACUUCACCACAUCCUUCAUCAUCAGCUUGGCCGCCUCUGCUGAACAGUGUAGGGGAGCAGUAAUGAAAGUUGCAUACUUUGAAAACCGAUCGACCACCACGAGUAUCGAUCCGAGUCUCCCUACAAGUGGCAAGCUUGAUAUGAAGUCCAAGGAAAUGCUCUCCCACGGCCUUUCUGGUACGUGCAACGACUCCAAAAGUCCCACCGGCUUCCGCUGCUCCGCCUUGUCUUGUUGGCAAGUGAGGCAUGUUCGAACAUAUUCCUCCACAUCAGUCCCCAUUUUCGGCCAGUAGAAGACCCUCUCCAUAAGAGCCAAUGUUCUGUGAAUGCUUGGGUGUCCAGCCCAAAGGGAAUCGUGACACUCUCUUAAGAGUUCAUGCCUUAAAUUAUCCACUCGGGGAACAUAAACCUAUUCCCUUUUGUAUAAACAAGUCCCUCCUGGACCCAAAAUCGUCGUGCCUUGCCUUCUUUGAUGAGCUGUAUCAGGAUAACCGCUUGGGGGUCACUAUACAGUCCAUCCCUGAUCCUGGAAAGGAAGUUGGAGUGCAAUUGACUUGCUUGGCCCCCGCCGUCCAAUUGUACGACAUUCAUGUGCUCCACUUUCCGACUCAAUGCAUCGGCCACGACAUUUGCCUUUCCAGGCUUAUACUCUAUUGCCAUAUCAAAUUCACCCAAGAAGUCCUGCCAUCGUGCUUUCUUUGGGGAAAGUUUCUUCUGUGUUUGGAAAUAGCUUAGAGCGAUGUUGUCUGUGUCCUCAGCACAGAUCACCGCUGUCAUCUCCUUCUCGUGCACUGGAUACCGCCGCUCAGUCUCGUUGAGCUUGCGGCUCUCGUAGGCCACUGGAUGACCCUCCUGCAUGAGUACUCCCCCAAUAGCGAAGUCUGAAGUAUCUGUAUGGACUUCAAAAGGCUCCAUAGUCUAGCAAUUUGAGCACCGGUUCUUCCAGAACAGUAGCCUUUAGAUCUUGGAAUGCUAUUUCACAUUUGUCAGACCACUUCCAAGGCUGCUCCUUCUUCAGCAACUCCGUCAGUGGAGUUGCACGCUUCGAGUACCCCGCUAUAAAGCGUCGAUAGUAGUUGACGAAACCAAGGAAGGAUCUCAACUCUAGCACCUUCUUUGGAGUUCGCCAUUUCGCAACCGCUUGCACUUUUGAUUUGUCAAUGCGAAAGGAGCCAUCACCGAUUCGAUGUCCCAAGAAUAAGAUCUCUGUUUGGGCAAAGUAGCAUUUCUCCCUUUUCACGAACAAAGUGUUCUCCCUGAGAACCUUGAAAAUUGUCCGAAGGUGCUGGACAUGCUCCUUGAGCGUUUGACUGUAGACGACGAUAUCGUCUAAGUAGACGACUACGAACUUGUCCAAAUACUCCUUGAAUGGUUGGUUCAUGAGAGUGCAGAACGUGGCCGGAGCGUUGGUUAAGCCGAAAGGCAUCACCAAGAACUCAAACGCUCUAUACCUGGUCACACAGGUAGUCUUCGCUUCGUCGCCUUCAGCAAUGCGCACCUGCCAAUACCCCGAUCGAAGGUCGAGUUUUGAGAAAUACUUGGCUUUGCCCAACUGGUCGAACAAGUCCGCGAUGAGCAAGAUGGGAUACUUGUUCUUCACUGUCACUUUGUUGAGGGCUCGGUAAACGACGCGUAGUCGGAGGCUCCUAUCUUGUUUCUUCUGGAAGAGAACUAGAGCUCCGAAUGGUGCUUUAGAGCUGCGGAUGAGACCACCGCUUAGAAGUUCACCUAACUGCUUUCUGAGUUCAGCCAACUCUGGUGGGGGCAUGCGGUAGGGUGGUCUCGCUGGAGGCUUCACUCCUGGCUCCAGCUUGAUGUUGUGAUCUACGCCUCUGCGUGGUGGAAGAGUCUUCGGCAACUCGGGUGGCAUAACCUCAGUGAACUCUUUCAGGACGUUCGCCACCACAACAGGUUCUUGAAUGGCCUUCUCGUCGAGUGGCUCUAGCUUCAUAGCAGCCACGAAGGUUAAUUCACCUUUUUGCACCCCUUUCUUCAGUUGCAAUGCCGAUAUAUGUUGGGGUUCCUUGGUUCCUCUCUGAGAGACGGGAACCACGCAGGGGUCGUCACCUCCCAUCAUACACAAGGAGUUUAGGAACGGCAUAGGCACCAACUUCGCCGCAUGCAUGAACUCCAUUCCAAGAAUCACUUGGAAGUCGUCCAGUGGCAUCGUCAUUAUGUUGGUGUUCCCGCUCCAUGAUCUUGAUGGGAACUCCCUUCGCCAACCCGGAGAUUCGCUUGGCCUCCGAGUUCAUCGCCUUCAUUCGACUUGGGCUCUUCUCCAAGAUCAACCCAAGUCGCUUUGCUUCUCGAUCGGUAAUGAAGUUGUGGGUAGCACCCGUGUCUACCAUUGCACGGGUCGCUUGGCCAUUUAGCUUGAUGUCUACAUAUAUCAGCUCACUACUUCCUGCUUUUUGUAGCCUUGUCUUCGUGCUCUCCCCCACUUGACCUCGCAUGACGUUCAACAAACGCAUUGCUCCCAUCCGAGGUCCUUGCGAGUCCUCGUCGUCGCUGCUGGAUUCAGAACUGCUCGAACUAAGAGCGACAGCCUUGCCUUUGUCUGAUUUGGGGGGGUGAAUGGAAGCUGUUAAAGCAUUAAGUGCUUGUUUUUGUGGGGCACUCCCUCACCAUGUGCGGCCCUCCGCACAAGAAGCAUCCGCCAGGUUUUCGGGUCUUGCCUUUCGAGCUUGGCCCUUUGUGGGAACUUUUCUUAUUUUGUUCGCCCCCAACUCCUUCCCCCAAGAAUAUUUUGGAGGGCGAUUGCUUGAAGAUUGUUUCCUUCUUCCCGGGUCUUCAGAGGAAACAAAGUCGGUGAGCCUUUCUGCAGCAGCAAUUGCCCCAACCACAUCGGUGACAUUCCUUUGAUUUAGUUCUUGUUGAGCUCAUGGCUUCAAACCAUCGAGGAAGCUGAACAGCUUGUCCUUCUCGGACAUGUCCUGUAUGUCAGCAUUAGCGUAGAAAAUUGUUUCACGUAGUCUCGGAUGGAAGUACUCUGACGGAGUUGUCUUAACUUCCUUCUUGUGACGAACUCUGUGUUCUCCGGUAGGAACUGAGUUCUUAACCCCCGCUUCAAGUCCUCCAAUGUGUCAACCCGACAUCGACCUUGUUGGAUUUCCUCCCAACGGGUUCGCCACCAAAGUUUUGCAUCUCUGUUCAGAUACAUUGUUGCUAUAGAAACUUUGGGAUCUUUAGAAUCGGGCCUCGUAGCUCGAAAGUAUUGUUCCAUGUCGAAUAGAAAAUUCUCGAGCUCUUUGGCAUCUCUGGCCCCUCCAUAACCAUGUGGCUCGGGUGCCCUUAAGUUUUAUGGUGGUGCAACGCGGGUGUUGCUUCCUCUCGCAUUUAGUGCUCUUGUGAGCAUGGCCACCCUUGAAGUGAGUUCCGCCACAACUUCCUGUAGGUGUUGCACAGAGUCUUUGGUGUCAUUUGACAGUCGAUCGACUAGGGCCUCGACCUUGUCGAUCCUGGACUUCGCUUCCUCUUGCGAGCUCUCUACCCUAACAAGCCUUUGUUGGCCAUGGUAGAGUUCCUCCAAGCUCGCUUCAAGAACAUCCAAGCGGGUUUCCGCCGUUGUGAGUCUCUCUUUGUGACUCUUUUUCCCAGUUGGCACUCUAGAUUGCGCCUCCUCUGCUCACGGAGAGUAGCCAACUUCUCGCUCAUCAUGUUCGCUGCCGCGCUCCUCUUGAGCGGCUCCAACAGCAUGAGAGUGAGUGUGCACAUGCAGCCCACCUGUGGCUGCUUGGGGCAAGGGUCCGUCUUGCCCCAUCUUGCUUGAUUCGCCACGAUGCUUUGCCAUGACGAAGUUACGAAGUUCCUUCACUGCUCACUCGAAGUGCUUGCCUGCUUUGAUACCACAAUGUCACGACCUUAGCUGGAAUUGCCUAAGGCGUGAGGCACCCUUGCGGCCAAGACGCGAACUUAGCUUGCGUUGCCUAAGUCACGAGGCACCCUUGCGGCAAAGAUGCAAACUUAGCUUGCGUUGCCUAAGUCGCGCUUCGCCCUUGCGAUAUUGUUCCGCAAAGAUCAGCCCACUUGCAACCUCUCGCAGGUCCCGAAGGACCUGUAAAAGAGAAAGUUGAUUAGUUUGAAAGAACGAGCGACGGACAAGUCCCGACGUCUCACGAAAAGAGGGGAAGCUUUACAAGAAAUUCAGCGAGCACCUUGCGUGCACAAGAGAAAAGAGGGAGAGGGGGAAAACAAGGACUUUAGAGGGUUGAACGAACAACUGCAAGUCCACAAAUAGCUGCUCACCGGGUGCCGGGCGCGACAACAAGUUCCCG
Molecule: long non-coding RNA, 5888 nt
Filed under: Musa acuminata (dwarf banana)
Lineage: Eukaryota; Viridiplantae; Streptophyta; Magnoliopsida; Zingiberales; Musaceae
Description: long non-coding RNA (MACU_LNC007369)
Source: RNAcentral